Long non-coding RNA from Pogoniulus pusillus (Red-fronted tinkerbird), 631 nucleotides. RefSeq lists it as uncharacterized. The transcript is spliced from 2 exons. The record is from RefSeq and is a predicted model, not a curated record. NCBI's taxonomy places the organism in Eukaryota, Metazoa, Chordata, Aves, Piciformes, Lybiidae.
AAUAUGCAAGGAACACGGCGGACUCCGCAGCACGGCUCAGCCCGGCCCGGCCCCGCCGCCGGGGGAAGGCGCCCUCGGGCCGCUGCCAGAAAGUCCCUGGGAACAGUUUGCGCUUAACUGAAGUAGGAUGCGCAAAAGCGAUGCUUCCGAAUUCAUGCCGCUGCCUGAUGAAAAUGUUCAUCUGGAUGUUCUUUCGCUGUGCCGGCGUUUGAAGCGACAGUGCUGCUGGUGGUGAGCACUCGCUGCUCUUAAAAGCAGUUGGCAAAGGCGUGAAGAAGAUUUAGUUUUGAAAAUGAAUGUGCAGUAGCAAGGCUGAGUCUGCAUGAGGUUUGAAACGCACCAUUCUACCAGCAUUAAAGAAGUCCUAAAUCAGCUCUUUUGUUCCCAAACAACAGAAAAGAAUUUAGGAUUUCCUUCUGUUUGCCUAAUGAUUUCCUAAAUUGCUCAGUCACCUUUUCGGUCGUUACAAGGGGAUUAGAAGCUACUCUUGCCUUUCUGCUUCCCCUUCUUCACCGUUUCUUUCCUCUUCCUUUUCCUCUCCACCUUCCUGUUCAGAAGCGUGCAAUCUCCUCAGCCGCUAAAGGCAUGUCACGUCAAAUAUCAUUAUCUACAAAAAUGGUCCUGUAGGUGU